RNAcentral lists this ribosomal RNA (305 nucleotides) under uncultured bacterium. RNAcentral describes it as "bacterial SSU rRNA". It matches the Rfam family "Bacterial small subunit ribosomal RNA", at positions 334 to 631 of the family's 1533-position model. The record is from RNAcentral.
UGUACCUACGGGGGGCAGCAGUAGGGAAUCUUCCACAAUGGGCGAAAGCCUGAUGGAGCAACGCCGCGUGGGUGAAGAAGGUCUUCGGAUCGUAAAACCCUGUUGUUAGAGAAGAAAGUGCGUGAGAGUAACUGUUCACGUUUCGACGGUAUCUAACCAGAAAGCCACGGCUAACUACGUGCCAGCAGCCGUGGUAAUACGUAGGUGGCAAGCGUUAUCCGGAUUUAUUGGGCGUAAAGGGAACGCAGGCGGUCUUUUAAGUCUGAUGUGAAAUCCUAUGGCUUAACCAUAGAACUGCAUUUGAA